Non-coding RNA from Pelobates cultripes (western spadefoot toad), 3396 nucleotides. NCBI's taxonomy places the organism in Eukaryota, Metazoa, Chordata, Amphibia, Anura, Pelobatidae. The record is from the annotation of a GenBank genome assembly.
GCAAAUUUUGGCAACUCAAAAUUGGCAUUGCAGAAAUGACUGAUAUUUUUUAGCCAUGAGUCAAUAUUGAAGCCGAUAUUGCAUGUCACCACUGACAUGGUCCACAUUUUUCAGGUGUUCUGGCUGUCCGAAUGGUCUUCCCAAAUGUUUCCAGUACCAUAAUUCAACCAAAGCCAACCAGCAACAUGAACGAAAUUCUGCCAACUCCAAAAUAUAUUUCUGCCAAAGUGGUUCAGAAGAAUCUAAAUUUUCAAGUGUCUAAUGACCACCACUACCCACAGCAUAAAUAUUUGAAUGGAGGAGGAGGAAGGUAAGGAAGUAGAAUUACUGCACACUACCCCUGUCGAAGGACAUUAUAUUAUUAUUAUUAUUAUUAUUAUUAUCACCAUUUAUAUAGCGCCAACAGAUUCCGUAGCGCUUUACAAUAUUAUGAGAGGGGGGAUGUAACUAUAAAUAGGACAAUUACAAGAAAACUUCCAGGAACAAUAGGUUAAAGAGGACCCUGCUCAAACAAGCUUACAGUCUAUAGGAGGUGGGGUAUAAGACACGUUGGGACAGGAAAUAUAAAUCAAAAAGGUUGGGAGUGAAGCAGAGCUGGAGGAGAGAGUAAAGCACUGCCCUACAGGAGAGAGCAAGAGACAGGUAUGUAAGGUAGCGGUUACUCUGGGAGGCCAUAAGUUUCCUAAAGAGAUGGGUUUUAAGGCACUUCUUAAAGGAUUGAAGGAGUCUCUCACGAGAAGUUCUGCAAGCGUGAGUUGGCCGUAAGGGUGCGAGCAGCGGUCAGGAGGUGGUUACAGGGAGAGCGGAGGGAACGAGGAGGGGCAUACCUUUGGAUCUGUGAAGAGAUAUAAGAGGGGCUAGAAUUGUUCAGUGCUUUAAAUGUAUGGGUUAGCACUUUGAAUUGACUACUAUAGGAUACAGGGAGCCAAUGUAAGGACUGGCAGAGGGGUGAGGUGUGAGAGGACCGACUAAGUCUGAGAGGAAAAUAAGUCUGUCAGCGACAUUCAUUACAGACAGUAGCAGGGCAAUAUGGCUUUUGGGGAGACCAAUCAGGAGAGGAUACAAUAAUCCAUGCGGGAAAUUACUAGAGCAUGGACAAGCUCCUUGGUAGCAUCUUGUGUAAGAAAGGGGCGGACGCGGGCUAUGUUUUUAAGUUGGUAUCUACAGGAUUUGGCAACAAACUGGAUGUGAGGCUCAAAGGUGAGGCCAGAGUCAAGUAUGACGCCAAGACAGUGUACUUGCAAGGAUGGGCUUAUGUGGAUAUCACUGACUUGAAGGGAGAGCGAGAGAGGAGGAUCAGUAUUAGGAGGAGGAAAGACAAGGAGCUCAGUUUUAGAGAGAUUGAGUUUCAGAAAGCGUGAGGACAUCCAGUCAGAGAUGGAAGAAUGGCAAGCAGUCACACGUUGCAAGACGUCAAGGGAGAGGACCGGAGAGGUAUAUCUGAGUGUCAUCAGCAUACAGUUGGUAGUGGAAUCCAAAAGAGGCAAUAGAUUUGCCAAGAGAGGCAGUAUAAAGAGAAAAUAGAAGGGGACCAAGCACAGAGCCUUGGGGAACUCCAACCGAGACAGGACGAGGGUAGGAGGUAUCCUUGGAAAAGGAGACACUGAAAGAGCAUUGGGAGAGAUACGAGGAAAACCAUGAGAGGACAGAGUCACAGAGACAGUGAUUAAAGAGUUUGAAGCAUGAUCAACAGUGUCAAAGGCAGCAGAUAGGUCAAGGAGAAUUAGUAUGGAGUAGUGACCUUUGGAUUUAGCUGCGAUUAGGUCAUUAGUAACUUUGAUAAGAGCAGUCUCAGUAGAGUGGAGAUGGCGGAAGCUAGACUGAAGAGGGUCAAGGAGAGAAUUGGAAUUGAGGAAGCAAGACACACGGGUAAAGACAAGUCUUUCCAAAAGCUUUGAUGAAAAAAGGGUAUGGGACGAUAGUUAGAGGGGGAGGAUGGGUCAAGAGAUAUUUUUUUUCAGGAUAGGUACUAGAGUGGCAUGUUUAAGGUCAGCGGGAACAGUGCCAGAAGAAAGAGAGGAGUUGAAAAUGUGUGUUAGGGAAGGCAGAAGACAAGGGGAGAGAGAUCUGAUGAGGUGAGAUGGGACAGGAUCGAGCGGGCAAGUGGUGGGGCGAGAGGAAUGGAGAAGCGCAGCCACCUCUUGUUCAGUAGCCGAUGAGAAAGUCUGAAGGGUAGGAAAGGCAUGAUUUAUGUGUGGUUGAGAAAGAGAACGGCAAGGAGGGGAGAGUUCUUUCCUUAGUUGUUCAAUCUUGUUGGUAAAGUAGCAUGCAAAGCUAUAAGCUGUAAGGUUAGUUUGGGGGGUGGCCACAGCAGGGCGGAGAAGAGAAUUAAAGGUGUCAAAGAGACAUUUAUAUAACUUGUAUGAUUUCUGCUCAAUGCCUUAAUGGCCAACUAAUCCAUCUCAAUUUGUCCUGCUGUGGGAGAAGGCGGCUUGCUGUAUGGCUGUCUCAUAAUCUUUCUGAAAUAUAAAAUUCUUAAAAUUAGGUUUUAUAUUUUAUAAAAGACUGGCGAAGGAAUAUUGGAGGAGCUUCAAGAAUGUAUAAAGAAUGGGGUGAAAUGUUAAAAGACUAAAUAAUGAGGUUGAAGGAAUAAAAUUAUUGUGAAAAGGCACAAAAUAGGGACUCUAUGAAAAAAGUGAGUCACAGGGUUUUCAGUCUCCUGGCCCAUACAUGCAUAUCUAUACCAAGUGGAUAAUAAGUCCUAUUUCUAAAUAUUUUGUAUUAUCUUACUUUGCCCUGUGAAGGUUGGGAGAAACACUUUGUCUCUUGACCUCUUUUGAAGUAACUUUUCUGCCUUUUCCCUUUCUUUAGUAUUUAUCUUCAAUGAUCUUUCUAAUAGCCUAAAAUUUGCACAGGAAUCUGCCUUUAUUAUUUGCUUUCUCAUUGGUCUCACCAUCCUGUCUGACUUUUGAAUUCUGUUCAAAGAUACAAUAAUUACUGAGAACAUGCACUCCAAGUAUAUAAUUGGGUGCAGUCUCCAGAGGUUACCUACGCAUUACCUCCUACAACAAUAAAAUGAAAUAAAGGGAGUCGUAACACAAAGUCUCACAGAACCGGAGAUUUAGCGUCAACUAUGGUGGAAUAACUCUCUUAUUCUGCAAAAUUUAGGAAUUUGACUGCGAUUACAAUUUUGUUAGUUCCUACUUCACUCGCCUCUUUUCUUGAUAGCUUUUCUUUAUCCAUCUCUGUACCAUGGUUCCUAGUUCUGUGUCUACCUCAUUGAAUCUUCCACUACAUCUUCCUGUGUUUCCAGAACUGUAAGGCCCGUGUAUAUUCAGAUACAAAAUUAUAUGUAUAUAUACUAAAAUGUUUGCACUGUGACAAUACACAAUAAAACUCCCCACAGUACAAAUAGAAAAAAUAGUAUUGUUCAUUACCUGUAUACCUCAAGUUUGG